AUCCCAUGAUAAGGACAAGCGGCCACGAAUUCCUAUAGACGUUCCCAUGCUUCACGAAUAGACUCAUCGCUUGCCUACUGGAAACUUGAAAUCCUUCCACGAAGGGC
This is a small nucleolar RNA of Oryza sativa (Asian cultivated rice), 107 nucleotides long. It matches the Rfam family "Plant small nucleolar RNA R71". From Rfam's summary of the family: R71 is a member of the C/D box family of snoRNAs containing the C (UGAUGA) and D (CUGA) box motifs. The record is from Rfam. NCBI's taxonomy places the organism in Eukaryota, Viridiplantae, Streptophyta, Magnoliopsida, Poales, Poaceae.